Molecule: ribosomal RNA, 468 nt
Filed under: uncultured bacterium
Lineage: Bacteria
Description: partial 16S ribosomal RNA
Rfam family: Bacterial small subunit ribosomal RNA
Source: RNAcentral
GACGAACGCUGGCGGCGUGCUUAACACAUGCAAGUCGAACGGAAAGGCCCUGCUUUUGUGGGGUGCUCGAGUGGCGAACGGGUGAGUAACACGUGAGUAACCUGCCCUUGACUUUGGGAUAACUUCAGGAAACUGGGGCUAAUACCGGAUAGGAGCUCCUGCUGCAUGGUGGGGGUUGGAAAGUUUCGGCGGUUGGGGAUGGACUCGCGGCUUAUCAGCUUGUUGGUGGGGUAGUGGCUUACCAAGGCUUUGACGGGUAGCCGGCCUGAGAGGGUGACCGGCCACAUUGGGACUGAGAUACGGCCCAGACUCCUACGGGAGGCAGCAGUGGGGAAUAUUGCACAAUGGGCGGAAGCCUGAUGCAGCAACGCCGCUUGCGGGAUGACGGCCUUCGGGUUGUAAACCGCUUUCGCCUGUGACGAAGCGUGAGUGACGGUAAUGGGUAAAGAAGCACCGGCUAACUACGUG